GACGAACGCUGGCGGCGUGCCUAGUACAUGCAAGUCGAACGCUGAAGGAGGAGCUUGCUCUUCUGGACGAGUUGCGAACGGGUGAGUAACGCGUAGGUAACCUGCCUGGUAGCGGGGGAUAACUAUUGGAAACGAUAGCUAAUACCGCAUAACAGUAGAUGUUGCAUGACAUUUGCUUAAAAGGUGCAAUUGUACCACUACCAGAUGGACCUGCGUUGCAUUAGCUAGUUGGUGGGGUAUCGGCUCACUAAGGCGACGAUACAUAGUCGAACUGAGAGGGUGGGCAGCCGCACUGAGACGGUGACAGGGCCCAGAGUGCUACGGGAGGCAGCAGGAGGGAAACGUCAGCAAUGGGCGGAAAACUGACCGAGCAGCGCCGCGGGAGGGAAGAAGGUUGUCGGGUCGUAAAGCUCGGUUUUAAGGGAAGAACGAGUGUGAGAGUGGAAAGUUCACUCUGUGACGGUAACUUGCCAAAAAGGAACGGCUAACUACGUG
Molecule: ribosomal RNA, 495 nt
Filed under: uncultured bacterium
Lineage: Bacteria
Description: partial 16S ribosomal RNA
Rfam family: Bacterial small subunit ribosomal RNA
Source: RNAcentral